This 423-nucleotide ribosomal RNA is filed under the name uncultured bacterium. RNAcentral's name for it is "bacterial SSU rRNA". It matches the Rfam family "Bacterial small subunit ribosomal RNA", at positions 488 to 918 of the family's 1533-position model. The record is from RNAcentral.
UAGUAUCAGCGUGCCAGCCGCCGCGGUAAUACGAACGGUCCAAACGUUAUUCGGAAUCACUGGGCUUAAAGCGUCCGUAGGCGGCUCGGAAAGUAGGGUGUGAAAUCCCACGGCUCAACCGUGGAAUUGCGCUCUAAACUAUCGAGCUAGAGGGAGAUAGAGGUGAGCGGAACUGAUGGUGGAGCGGUGAAAUGCGUUGAUAUCAUCAGGAACACCGGAGGCGAAGGCGGCUCACUGGGUCUUUUCUGACGCUGAGGGACGAAAGCUAGGGGAGCGAACGGGAUUAGAUACCCCGGUAGUCCUAGCCGUAAACGCUGAGUACUGGACCGGAGCUCUGCACAGGGUUUCGGUCGUAGCGAAAGUGUUAAGUACUCCGCCUGGGGAGUAUGGUCGCAAGGCUGAAACUUAAAGGAAUUGGGCGGG